RNAcentral lists this transfer RNA (73 nucleotides) under Stegodyphus mimosarum. It matches the Rfam family "tRNA". Rfam says of the family: Transfer RNA (tRNA) molecules are approximately 80 nucleotides in length. Lineage: Eukaryota; Metazoa; Arthropoda; Arachnida; Araneae; Eresidae. The record is from Rfam by way of RNAcentral.
ACCUUCGUGGUGUAGUGGUCAGCACGCUCGGCGCGUAUUCGAGAGGUCCGUGGUUCGAAUCCCUGUGAGGGCA